This is a small nuclear RNA of Gorilla gorilla gorilla (western lowland gorilla), 107 nucleotides long. NCBI's taxonomy places the organism in Eukaryota, Metazoa, Chordata, Mammalia, Primates, Hominidae. The record is from Ensembl.
GUGCUCACUUUGGUAGCACAUAUAUUAAAAUUAGAAUGAUACAGAGAAAAUUAGCAUGGCCCCUGUGAAAGGAUGACAUGCAAAUUCAUGAAGCAUUCUAUAUUUUU